AAAAAAAAAUCAAAAAUUGUUUCGUCGAAGACGCAGAACAAUUCCGACGAAACAUAAACUCAUAUCGAAAGUGAAAUUUCGAUUGAGGCUUUGUGCGAGUUCGAGUCGUUGCUUAAAUGGAGGAAAUUUCGAUCGAGUUCGUGUUAAAGGGUAACAAUAAGAGGAUUUUCGGAUUUUUCGAGUUACUGUUUCUAGAAGAACUCAAAUGGCGGAGAUGAAGAAGAGUAGUCGGCGGCGAGGACUUUCGGAAGUUAAUGUAUCAUCGUCGGCGACGACAAUUAUGGGUAAGGGUAAGAGGUUGAAGAAGAGUGCAAAAUUAGGGUUGCAGAGGUUGAAAAAGAGUGCAAAAUUAGAGUUGUAGAGGUUGAAGACAAAUGCAAAAUUACAGUUAUACCCUUCAUUAAAUUUCUUAUGUGUACGUAUAUGUAAUUUACGGUGUACGUACAUGUUGACAUGUAAAUAUAAUAGAUUAUAUUUUAUUGUUAAAGCGGUAUACACAAUUAUAUAUUGAGUUUGUACAUUAUAAAUCUUUGGUUAUUUCGAUUAGAUGAGAUAUUUUCGGAGUUUUCUCCAUAAAAUCUAUGCAUAUAUAAUAAUGAAGUAAAAAUAUAUGGUCAAAGUAUAUAUAUUCUU
This 633-nucleotide small RNA is filed under the name Arabidopsis thaliana (thale cress). RNAcentral describes it as "ATSL172580". Lineage: Eukaryota; Viridiplantae; Streptophyta; Magnoliopsida; Brassicales; Brassicaceae. The record is from RNAcentral.